UCAUGGACACAGCUGCCACUUGAAGGUCCUGGGCUGUGGUAGAAAUCACUUCCAGACCCAGCGCCACUGUUUGCCUCAGGGCCAGUGUGAAGAUUGCCCCACGUGAGAGCACAGAACUGCCAGGCGAUGCUCAAGAGCACAUCUCAGUUCUGUCUCGGUGAUUCUCAGUGGGAGAAUCAUCAUUGUGACCCCCAGUUGAGAAUCACUAUUGCAGGGGACAACUGAGAAAUGACAGGUACUGACAAGAAGCCUUGAGCCAAAUGGAGUUCUGUGAGAGUGUUGUCUGGGGUCAGGGAAGGUUGCCUUUCUGCAAGAGAGGAGGCCCUGAGCUUCCUGACUCUUCCUCCACCUAGGACGAUGACCCAGGAAGGGUGAGUGAGGAAGUGUCAGCACACACACCUCUGGAUCUGCCCAUGCGAGAGGCCCUCAAGUCGCGUAUCCAGGAGGAGAUUGCCAAACGCCAGAGCCGACACUGACCAGGUGGAAGGCAUUCUCUCCAGGCAAGAAUCCUGCACUUGGAUGAAUUCUAACUAGGGAGCCCACCCUACAUUGCGGUGCUAGGACUUGUCUGUCUGAUCUUGAGACCCUUAUAAGCUGCUGCCUCCACAGGGGUGUUGCAGGGCUAAACCUAGCCCACCUCCCUUGCAGCAAUUCUUUCUUGUAUGUUGACCAUUUGGCUGGCCUAUUGUCUUGGAAUUUUUUGAGAAUUUUGAUUAGAGAACCUGGUGCUCUUGAAGCUAAGAACUUAGGGAGAGCCAGGGUUUAUAAAGCCUUUUGCCAAUACGCUGCUCUCUCACUGAGGUCAUAUGCCUGACCACUCACGCCAUGAGCCAUGUUUGUUACUUUAUCGUUUUCUUUCAUGUUUCUGCUUCCACCAUAGUUUCCUAGACCCCCCCCCCCCUUAAGUUUUGUUCUUUUUGCCUCAGGUAGAACCCAUCAGUUCCUUUCACCCCAUCUCUUGACAUGACUAUGCAUCUCCACAACUAAGGGCUUUGCUGCUGGGGAGUUCUGGGUAUCUACCUUUCUAACAAGUUCUCCGAAUAUUUCUGGCACCAGUAAGAUGGGAGAGGCCUGCUUGGAAGCUUGUUCUCUUCCCCUUGCCUGACUUCUUCCCAUGCUCCACUGCUUUGCGCUGUUUAGAUAGGCCACCUAGGAAAAAGAUGCUGUUGUAAAAUCUGGGGAUCUCAGUGAAUCCUGCUUUAGUUAGAGUUAAGCAACUCCAGCUUUUGAUCCCAUCCCCAGUUGUAAAUAGACUAUUCUCUGUUCAGACUAAAGGGGAAUUGUCAAAACAAGGUAUUAAAGUCCAGAACAGUUUUGAAUAUAUGUGCAAAGUGGAAAUCAGCAUAAGUUUAGAGCCCCAGUAGCCAGAAAAAAAAAAGUCCUGAAGAAAGCCCAUACUAGAAAAAGUAAAAUCAGCCCCUUAUCUGCCCCACGUGUUUUCCUUUCCUACCUCCAAAAAAUAUACAACUAAGAGUCUUGUAGAGCCCCAGUAAUAGUAUGUUGGCCCAUUUGGCUGGCCUAUUAUCUUGAAUUUUUUUGAGAAUUUUGAUUAGAGAACCUUGUGCUCUGGUAGCAGAGACCUUAGAGAGAGCCAGGGUUUAUAAAGCCUUCUGCCAAUAUGCUGUAUGUAGAGAAUUUUUAUUUUUUGGAAUGGUCCCAGGAAUCAAACCCAGGGCCUCUUGCAUGCUAGGCAAGCACACUGCUACUGAGCUCCAUUCUAACACAGGGUUAGACAAGAGGACUGAGGGGUGCAGCUCAGUGAUAGAGUACCUGCCUAGCAUGCAC
RNAcentral lists this transfer RNA (1785 nucleotides) under Marmota monax (woodchuck). Lineage: Eukaryota; Metazoa; Chordata; Mammalia; Rodentia; Sciuridae. The record is from RNAcentral.